Syngnathoides biaculeatus (alligator pipefish) is the source of this 1837-nucleotide long non-coding RNA. RefSeq lists it as uncharacterized. The record is from RefSeq and is a predicted model, not a curated record. The transcript is spliced from 3 exons. Lineage: Eukaryota; Metazoa; Chordata; Actinopteri; Syngnathiformes; Syngnathidae.
UACACAUAAAAAGUGUUUUGGUUCCACAAACACGAUAAUAAGCGUGCUCUUAAAAAAAUAAAAACGGAUCAUCAUGUUUAUCCUGUAUAUAGUAGCCCAAUAGUAGUCAUACACUUGAAAAGUGCUUUAAAAUUCACCUUUUUGGGAAGCAUUUUCACUCCAAUAGAUAAUAGUUUUCGACCACGUGACUACAUCCGGGACACCUGGCCGUGUUGGAUGGGUUCACCAUACUGAAGCGCUGUUCACUCUCAUGCUUUUGCAUAUAGACCGGAGUUACACAAAUGUUCUUACGACUGUUAGAAGUGACGCAUGAUGGCUAAAAAGACUUUGGAAAGUUAUCGGUGCUCAUUAGAUGUUGUUUCAAGAAACCGUUACGAAAAGAAGUGUGUUUUGAUCGACAAUAUUGACCCAGAUGCCUUGGAGAAACACAAACGGAGCACACAACAGUGGUCGUCGGUAGCCUAUCCAGACAUCGUCCACUAUUUCCUCUUCUCGGCAAGCCCUUACACCGUGGACCAACGACAGAAUGACAAAGGUUUGGAGGCCUACAACCAAUUAAUGGGUUCGUCAUGCGGCGGUAUCCAUUGUAAGCAACCUGUCUCCCCACACUGCUAAGAAGUCUGAAAUGUUUCAAGGAUUACCUAUAUAAGGGCGAGAAAGACGGACAAGGAGGCUUCUUCUAACGACUUCGAACUGACUCCCGCUGCCCUGGGAAACUACGCUGCUCGGAACACUAACUACACGGACGCCUGCUGCCUUUCGUUUUUGGACCGGCUGGAACUUUCGCUAACUUGGAAUAGCCACUGGGACGAACAUUUGCUUGUUUGGGGACAUUCGUUCAACAUUGGUGAUGAUUCGCCGUCGUGGUUCAACUACUCUGUUCUUCAACAGCUAUUUUGUGUUAGCUAUUUUAUCAUGUUUGUGUCGUGUUGAUGAGCGUGCGAUUAAAUUGUCAGAAACGUAAUACGACUGACUGGCUUGUCGCAUUUUGCCGGUUUGAACAAAGGGAACGUUUGUCUAAAUUUGCAUGUAACAUAAUCCUCGCCCAGUACAUUUGUAAAGAAAAUACCAUUUGGUACAUACAUAUGCUGCAGUCGUGUAAAAGCCGCAAGUGCCCUCAUUGAAACCCAAAUUGAAACACGUACACAGAGAGUUUAACGCUAGCGUCCCCAUGCUAAUGCUAACCCCAGCGCCGCGCUAACAGGGCCGGUUAAAAAAAAACAUACCGGUAAAAAUUAUUGAGACACGGCAGUAACACGCUAGCGCAGUGCUAACAGGGCUGGACCGGUAAAAGUCACUUCCUCGGCACAUAUAAUCCACCGGUCUCACUCUACCUGUCAACUUGUACGGUUUAGCCGUAGUUCAUACGGAUUUUGUGGUGAAUCUUAAGUAUGCGGCCGUAUAUCACAAAUCAUACGGAUUCUGAACAAAUUCCGUUCUCCCUAAAAAAGUUCCUGUGGUUUCGCCACACUUUUUCGUCGCGGUCGGUCGAGCUCACUAGCGGAGUGUUUGCGGUCGACUUUCUGGUGUUCUGGCUCGCACGACGGCAGUGUUCACCUUCCUCCUCCUCCAAAGUGCUUCCUCAAAAUAGCCGAUAACGCAUUUUUCCUCCCCACAGUGUCAUCAGGAGUCCGCCGUGAGUUUGGGUACGUUAGCGUGACACCUUGAGUUGUGUUACCUCUCUUACGGGCAAUACAGGUCUGACAGGUCUCUCUUACAGUAAUGGGAUGCAGAGUGAUGACUCAGCGAUACUUCACCUCGUAGAGAUAAUCGAAGAGUUCGAGGAUGGUGAGGAUGCUGGCCCCGAUGAAGAGGCCCAUCUGACCUCCGAUGUCAC